Brienomyrus brachyistius is the source of this 769-nucleotide long non-coding RNA. RefSeq lists it as uncharacterized. Lineage: Eukaryota; Metazoa; Chordata; Actinopteri; Osteoglossiformes; Mormyridae. The record is from RefSeq and is a predicted model, not a curated record. The transcript is spliced from 2 exons.
AUAUUUCAGAGUCACAAUAGAGUUAUUCCCCAGAGGAAAAUUACUCUGCUGCCAGAGCCAGGUGGUCAAACCAUUUCUGCCAAAACAUGGCUGUUGUUGCACUUCGCUGCAGAUAAACACCGUUGGUUUACUUUCAGCUGCGGCUUUUCAUUCUCAAUAUAACUGUCGCUAUCAGUUAACCAGUAGACAGGACAGACUGUUGGCCAGUCAACACUUUUCUCUUUGCAGCUGUCACCCUAAUUUCAACAAAAGAAAAAUGAAAAAUAAAAUUCAUUUCCUGUUCUGGAUGUCCCUGAAUACUCUGUCAUGGAUGAACAUGUGCAACGGCGUGCCGGUGGCAGUGAAAGCAGGACAGAGAGCCACCCUCACCUGUCCACUGAGGACUGACAGCCACACGCAAGUCAUCAGCUGGUACAGGCAGAGCCGCGGCCUCGGGCCCCAGUUUGUCCUCAGCUACCUGGUUCACAACGCCACCCACCUUUUCUAUGGCCGGGGAUUAAACUCCAGUCAUUUUGCCGUUCGGGGCAGCGAAGGCAGGACAGUGCUCCAGCAGCUAGAGAUCACCACGGCAACAAGAAACGAUACAGCUGUCUAUUAUUGUGGUGUCUCAUUUUAAACAACCAAAAGACCAAGAAAACAUCAAUACAAAAGCCUUUUUUUGUGUUUCUUAUUAAAAUGUGUGCUGAAAAAAAAAUCCAUUUGAAUUGUAACAAAAAUUCUUGUUUUGUUUAUAUGACAUAAAAAUGCACAAAAACUGGUGUAAUGUUCA